UCUGUUCCGAGCGUUGUUUUCUCUCUGAUUAUAUAAUCAUUCCUUUUCAGAGGGCUAUAUGCAGACUGUGGAGAGCAGGAGUGCCCGGCCUGAUCAUUCUUUAUAGAGAUUCUCCCUGAUGGAGCCUAGCCUGAGAGUGACCUCACAUCAUGCUAGCCUGGAGCUCAAUGUCCCUCUGCAAGGAGAAUGAUGCCAGGUGGUUCACACAAUUCAUCCAAGAGGAGUUGAAUGUUACACUGGAUGACAGCUUCGAGGCAUCCAUGGAUGUCCUGCGACUCAUCUCUCGGCUGGCUGGCUAGAGACUGGAGCACUUCACACACAGUGGUACGAGCGAGGGCUCCAUGAGCUCCUGAACCACGGUAGGGCUUUUGAGGGAGGC
Molecule: long non-coding RNA, 379 nt
Filed under: Fukomys damarensis (Damara mole-rat)
Lineage: Eukaryota; Metazoa; Chordata; Mammalia; Rodentia; Bathyergidae
Description: lncRNA (ENSFDAG00000021926.1)
Source: RNAcentral